Molecule: unclassified non-coding RNA, 20 nt
Filed under: Chlamydomonas reinhardtii
Lineage: Eukaryota; Viridiplantae; Chlorophyta; Chlorophyceae; Chlamydomonadales; Chlamydomonadaceae
Description: small RNA Cre_2847
Source: RNAcentral
UGAAGCUAGGCAUCAGCCCU